RNAcentral lists this ribosomal RNA (272 nucleotides) under uncultured bacterium. Its description in RNAcentral is "partial small subunit ribosomal RNA". It matches the Rfam family "Bacterial small subunit ribosomal RNA", at positions 26 to 285 of the family's 1533-position model. The record is from RNAcentral.
AGAAUCAACGCUGGCGGCGUGCCUAACACAUGCAAGUCGAACGCGAAAGUCCCGAAAGGGGCAAGUAGAGUGGCAAACGGGUGAGUAACGCGUGGGUGACCUGCCUUCGAGCGGGGGAUAACGUUCCGAAAGGGACGCUAAUACCGCAUAACAUCCUGCCUUUGAAGAGGUGGAGAUCAAAGCUGGGGAUCGCAAGACCUGGCACUUGAAGAGGGGCUCGCGUCUGAUUAGCUAGUUGGUGAGGUAACGGCUCACCAAGGCAACGAUCAGUA